This 403-nucleotide ribosomal RNA is filed under the name bacterium. RNAcentral describes it as "partial 16S ribosomal RNA". It matches the Rfam family "Bacterial small subunit ribosomal RNA", at positions 355 to 776 of the family's 1533-position model. The record is from RNAcentral.
UGGGGAAUAUUGCACAAUGGAGGGAACUCUGAUGCAGCGACGCCGCGUGAACGAAGAAGGCUUUCGGGUCGUAAAGUUCUUUUAUAUGGGAAGAUAAUGACGGUACUAUAAGAAAAAGCCCCGGCUAACUACGUGCCAGCAGCCGCGGUAAUACGUAGGGGGCUAGCGUUGUCCGGAAUCACUGGGCGUAAAGGGUUCGCAGGCGGAAAUGCAAGUCAGGUGUAAAAGGCAGUAGCUUAACUACUGUAAGCAUUUGAAACUGCAUAUCUUGAGAAGAGUAGAGGUAAGUGGAAUUUUUAGUGUAGCGGUGAAAUGCGUAGAUAUUAAAAAGAAUACCGGUGGCGAAGGCGACUUACUGGGAUCAUUCUGACGCUGAGGAACGAAAGCGUGGGUAGCAAACAGG